GCGUGCAGGAAGAAGGCCUUCGGGUUGUAAACUGCUUUUGUACGGAACGAAAAGGUCUUGGUUAAUACCUGGGGCUCAUGACGGUACCGUAAGAAUAAGCACCGGCUAACUACGUGCCAGCAGCCGCGGUAAUACGUAGGGUGCGAGCGUUAAUCGGAAUUACUGGGCGUAAAGCGUGCGCAGGCGGUUAUGUAAGACAGGUGUGAAAUCCCCGAGCUCAACUUGGGAAUUGCACUUGUGACUGCAUAACUAGAGUGCGGCAGAGGGGGAUGGAAUUCCGCGUGUAGCAGUGAAAUGCGU
RNAcentral lists this ribosomal RNA (300 nucleotides) under uncultured bacterium. RNAcentral describes it as "bacterial SSU rRNA". It matches the Rfam family "Bacterial small subunit ribosomal RNA", at positions 399 to 691 of the family's 1533-position model. The record is from RNAcentral.